CCAUUUACAAAUUUACUGAGACCAUUUACAUUUCAAACAAAAAUGGAUAACCAAAUAUUUUGACCAAUUACAGCAGUGGCAGACUAGCAGCAAACGAGGAUGUUGUGUUCCUUAUAUAUGCCACUCCUCUCCCCGCAAGCUACAUGGUUGCAACAAUUGUAAUUCCAGGGAGAUGGUAAUAAGAAAAACAUUGCCUUAGAUUCUCUCAUCCCUACUAUAAAUGUAAAAUCUUGUAUAAUACAUGUACAUAAUCAAUUCCACCACACUCAGCGCAGCAAGUAUCCAAUAAAAAUAAUCAAGAUGAGCCCGGUUCAAAUUAUUGUCGAACCAGCUAUAACAGCCAAUGCCAGCAGUCGCUUUCUCAAUGACAGAGAUGAGAAAGCUGCUAAGAAAUUUUCCUACACCAAAGAUACUGAGGUAUAGUGAAAGACCAACACUCUUUAAAUCACUAGGGACCUGAUCAUAGAAAAGUUCUUGCAGACCAACCAUGGUAAAGACAUCAGCAACUCCGAACAAGACAUAUGAAGGAACUAACCACCAAACACUCAUUGGAACAGUCACAUUUGGUUCAUUGACUAGACCAGAUUCUUGAGCGAUUUCGAGCCUUUUCAUCUCAACUAGAGCAGCAAAUGCUAUCGAAACAGCAGAUAAAAACAUCCCAGUUCCAAUUCUCUGAAGCAUUGAAAUGCCAGAUGGUUUCCUUGUUAAAGCUCUUGCAACAGGAACAAAGAGACGGUCAUAGAUAGCAAUACAGAGGAUCAUGGAAAUGCUGCUAAAGCUUUCAAGUGAAGCUGCUGGUAUCUCGAAACCUGGUGAAAUUGAUCUAUCCAUGGUUGCUGCUUGCUUGACAAAGAAAGUUGAGGACUGUGGAAACACAAUAGCAUAUCCCAAGCAUGUAGUCCAUAUUGGAAUAAGCCUGAGUACUGCCUUGGCUUCUUCAACAUCACGAAAGGUACAAACCUUCUGAUCUUCUUUUGAGCCAUCUGUUGUAAGCAGCGCAUUGUUUAGGAACCUGGAAUCAAUUUUUAUCUUAGAGAAGCUUGAUAUGGUAAAGCAAAAGGUCUUUUGAGUAAAACUUCACUGAUUCAAGACCACAGAGAGCAGAAGUAAUCUCCCACUUGAUAAAAUAUCAUAGAGCAUCACAACUUAAUCUAUAUGGUGAUGUGAAAUCACUCCCUUCUGUACCGUAAUCAGUGUUACAAUCUCCAGUGGUUGAUGCAAAUCAACAAGCACACUAAGACAAUACAGCAUCUUAGACCCAUAUCAACAAAUAAUUAAGUGUAUCUCCUAACAAAAUCUAAAUUUGAUAUCAUCAAACAAUUGCCAAGGAUAACAAACAGCCGUUCACUGAUGCUAAUAGCACAUAAAUCAGAGACAUUUCAGAGGUGAUUAACUGUUUUGUGGAAAGUGUUAAAAGUGCAAGGCGACUUAAGCACCAGGGCUAUUAGAGGCUAGGCUGCAGGAUCUCCACCUACUACAAUGCGCUUUGGAUCCCCAAAAUGGAUCACGGUGAUAUACUAGUUUUCCAUACGAAGGGUUAAAUAGAAUAUCAGAGCUCAGAUUGCUGUCACAAUACGAUAUCACGGACUUUGCAUUUGAUCCUAACUGGUUAAAGCUCACAAAAUAAAGUAUUUUCAAUCAAUGUCUUACUUAAAAAUUCUCAUCUAAUGAAAAUCUUCAGGUCAACUAGAUGCAAUUUGUGUUUAAUUUUUAACCUCAAAGACACGAUAAAUUCUCUUACUUGAACUGCUCAUAACUUUGGUGAGGUACAGUUCCACGACCUUCUUCCUCAGAAGCUAGUGAGGAAGGAGUAAAUCGCCAAUUCCUGAAAGCUGCCACAAAGACCCGAGCAAUUCUCAAAAGUGCGUUGUUCCCUUCCCUUUUAACACUGUACCGAUAUUUCUUUGAUCCCAGUAAGAAGAUGAUCAGUGCACAGAUCAUCAUAAUGCAUGGGAUUCCAAAUCCAAGACUCCAACUAAGAUUGUCUUGAAUGUAUGUUAAAACCAGUAGUGAUACUAAGAUGCCUGAACUCACAAAAAAAUACCACCAAUUGAAGAAUGAGCUUUUGGCUUUGUACUCUUUGGUGUCUUGUCUAUCAAAUUGAUCUGCUCCAAAAGCCGGGACACAAGGCUUGUAUCCACCUUGGCCAAGUGCUACUAGAUAGAGAGCAAUAAAGAAUAAAAUCACUUGUAGUGUAUUAGAAGAACAGGACGUACUGUUACUUUGACAGUCAGAUGUAGGAAGCAUAGCUGAUAGAGUCAACAAGCCAAGUCCCUACAAUUAAAUUCAAAAUAUGACAGAAACUUUAAACCCAAAGCUGAACAGCAUAAGUUUAUUAAUUUCCAGGAAUCAUGAACAAAUUUUUUACCCACUCCUCAAGAACAGAAAAGAAAGGAUAAGUAUGAAGUAUCUGGUGUCUUAAAGACAUUACACAAUCAUGCUGACUAUUUAAUAGGGUAGGUUUAAAAUCCUUAAUUUAUGUCCAGCCAAUCCAAAUAGAGAUCAAGAAAACAAAUCUAAUAGGAAGAUGUUAUCAACCUGUGACCUCAGGUUUGGUUUCAAUUAGUGCAAAAUCGUGUGAAGUAGACAAUGAAAGAAACUGCAACCAAUAGGAAGUAUAGUAGGCAAUUACUGAACUUUGGCCACAACUAUCGCAAUUCCUCCCGAAGAGACUAUAGUUCAGUUGAUUCUUGCAAAGAUUAAGCAUUGAGAACUGCUUUCAAUUUCCAAAUACCUUGUACUUCAAAUAAACCCAAGAUAGUUAAAAGGGCCAGGUGAUCAAGAAAUUUGCAGGAAGGAGUGCUGUUUUGCCAAUGCACAACUUUGUUUCAGCUGUCAAUUCUUUACUACCUCUGUGUGUGUGUGUCAUCCAUAUUUACUAAAAUGAUGCGACUCGAAGCCAAUGUAGAUGGCAACUUUCAUUUCAAUUCUCGAGGACUAGAAUAUUUACUUGAGUUACUCAACAAUCAUAGAUGAUCAUUUUCCUUUUAGAAAACUCAGCUAAAUCUAAGAAAAAUAGCUGAGCAGAUACAUCAGCUAACUUAGGAUUGAUGAUACUCAAAAAAUAAAAUAAAAUAAUAAAUAAAAAUCAGAACUUUUUUAUUUGCUUUUAUGAGACUGCAGGCCUACUUUAUUUGUAUCCUAGCCAAGCUUUCGUAGAUUGAAACUAAGUGAUUUUUGUUGGCAUGUCAUCCAUAUUCAAAUUGGUGUAUUCACGAGAAGUUUUUUCGCCCACACCCUUUCUAGAUUGGAACCUACAAUGAUGACACAGAGAACAAACUUUCAUACUACCUAAGCCAACACCUCAAUUGGUCCUUAGGACCAAUUAUAAACACCUAGAAAUCAAACUCUCUAACCAGUAAAAUUAGUUUUUGAGAGAUGUUUUUUACCAAAAUGUAGAUAAGUGAGGCAAUAAUAAUAGUCCUGCAUUUUCCAAGAAAAGAAUCAGCAACAAAUGCACCGAACAAGGGCAGCAACGACGCUGUGCCUGACCAUACGUUCACAUUCUUAGCCGCAGUAAUGGUUGAUUGACCCAACGGCCCAGUUAAAUACGUUAUUAAGUUGGAAGAGAUCCCAUAAAAAGAAAACCUCUCUGCAACUUCCACACCUGCACUUGUACACCAAACAAGAUAGUUAAAACACAAAAUAAUGGCUUCGGCUGGAUUAAAUAUAGAAAAAGAAACAGCUGUGUUACCUAUAAUGAAAGAUGCAGACCUCCAUCCACCAGAGUUGUAUCUACAAACUGGGUUGCCCUUAUAAUCAACGCAGUCAUCAACAGUGUCGUUUAGGAGUGGAGUUCGGACCUCUUGUGUCUCUGAACUGGAGAUGUUAGAAAUGGACAUCGCAGUUUACUACAGCUAAUGAUUACUAGUUAAAAUUACCAGCAAUCAUAAUCUGGUUCCAAUUAUGCUAACAUAUGGAGGAUAACAUUUAUAAAAAAUUGACGUCUUGUUCAGCAAAAAAAUGCUUGGCUUUAUUUGUUAGUUGGAUUGUCAGCCUCUCUUAUUUAUAUAAUAUUAUUACAGGGAAUCAAUCCUUUGUGCUUGGAGUUCAUGAUUGCAGUUCCCCGCCUUACUACUCGGUCGUGUUGCGAGGUGCAAUAUAAAAUAAACGAGAAUACCUUUUUUUAUUUUAAUUGUAUUUAUCGCACCUUCGACUAUUUUAUAAAAUAUUAAUUUACUUUUAAAGGCUCACCUACAACAUAUACUAUUGAUAUCAUAGUACUCUACCUCCUAUAUUAAUUCUAUUUUUUAUAUAUUUCACCACACUAUUAAAUAUAAAAAUAAGUAAAGGAUUUACAAGGUCACGACAAGUUGACUGAGUUUUAAAAAAUUUUGAUUUAUCAGCCGAUUUAUGAUAUCUAUUUUUUAGAUUUUUUUAACUUAUUAUUAUUUAUAAUAUCUAUAUUAUUUAAUUUUGAUGAAUUGAAUUGAAUUAAAUAAUACAAAUAUUACAAAAUAACCAAUUUCUUUUAACAUCCCUACUUUGUUCUCACUAGAGAGGUUUAAAAAACCCAUGAAUUUUUAACUAUACAUGUAAAAUUAUGAUGUGAAUUAAUUCGCAACAUAAACAAACAUAAUUUGAAAAAUAAUAAUUUCAAACCGAGAAGUAUGGAAGUUGUCGACUUCAUCUGUAGAUGCGAUGCUCCAUCUGGAAAUUUUCGAUUUCAUGUAUAUUCUGAAGAUUUCUAGUUUAAUAAGAGCAAGUCAAAUUCAUUUUGCACUUUGAUUUCAUUAGAUACCUUUCAAUUUCCAGUUUUAAUUAUGUUCGUACUAUAUUUUAUGAUGAACAAGAAGCUGAUGAAUUUUGAUAAAACUUCAUUUUCAGGAGGGAAAAAAAAAAGUUUUUAGAGAAGAAGCUAAUAAUAAAAAGUAAAGAGAGAGACGAAUGGGAGAUUGAAAAAUAUGCAACUUUGCAAUUCUUAUUCAUUCAUAAAAAACUACAUAACAUUUAAAAAAAUAUGAUAUAAAUACUAAAACUUUAACUACAACAAGCGAUUGGAUUUAUGAUCUACUAAAUAAAAUACCCAACAAUAAAUAAAACUCAAUAAAUAAAGCCUAAUUAAUAAACUUCGACUAAAAGUUUAUAUAAAUUAAACUAAAACAUAAGCUAAAGCCAAAUCUUUUAAUUGUGUGGGCUAUCUUCCAUCGUCUAUGAUCAUACGUGUGUGUAAACAAUGUUUCGGGUUCUGUGUACCCACUACUUGACUUUCCUUACAUACAAAAACAAGAAAGUAUCAAUACAGUAAGGAAAAAGAAGCUAUGAUGUUACAGACGCCAAAAGAUCAAAAUCAAUAACAAAAGCGAGAAGAGAGGCAAUGGCAAUGGCUAAUGACCGCUAGAAUUUGAAAGAAUCAAAAUACACCGCAUGACCGUUGGAAGAUUUGGGAUUACACAACUACAUUAAACGAAUUGUUUCAUUUAUUCACCCACACGCAUCAUUUUAUUAUGUUUUUCCGGUUAGGAGAGUUAGUUAAGUUGUUUUCCACAUGUCCAUUGAGGCACAAAUCAUGUAAUGUUUGGUAUUUCCUUGGUUUAUAUGUAAUAGAAAUGCCAGAAAGAAAAUGCAUGAAGAAAGAUGAAUUAACUAGUUUUGUCAUCCUAUUUCUUCUCUCUUUUUCCUCUUUGUUCUAGUCUAAUCUAUAUUGUUCUAUUGUGUUCUUCUUCUCUUCUCAAUUUCUUGAUUUCUAGAUUAAAAUUUUAUAGCUUAAGCAACAACAUUAUUCUACUGGAUUUCUUCUUAGUUGGGGAUCAUCCCAUCAGACUUGCAAUAAGUGGUAUUAGAGUAGUUGAUCCACGACCUAAUACUAUGGCUCUUAAUACUAGAACACGAGAUCAAACACAAAAUUAUGAACAACUGAUGAAGAUGUUGAAGACUUACAAUCACAAGCUGGAAAAUACCAGGACUAACCAUGAAGCAAAGAUCAAUGAACUCGCAAAACUUAUUAGAGGAUUGGCUUAUCAACAAACAACUCUUCUUUAAAACCUACAAAUGCCCACAGAGAAGACUAGUGCAGCCAGAGAUAACACAGGUGGCUCAUAGUGGAACUUGAAUGGCAAGACCUCACUUAUUAAGACACACACACCUAGACUUGACUUUCCCAGUUUUAAUGAAGGGAAUGUUCAUAAGUGAUUGUAUAGGUGCAAUUAAUAUUUUGAUAUGGAAGAGAUUGGAGAAUCAGAGAGACUUAAGCUGGUCUCCUAUUAUCUAGAUAGUAUGGCCCUUUUCUAGUACCAAAACUACAUGAGAAGUUUAGGUGAUCAGGAAGUAACAUGUAAGGAGUAUGUGGAGGCAUUAUGUGCUAGAUUUGGUGGCCAAAGGGACCCUCUAGAAGAACUCAUGUGUAACAUCCUCAUUUUCAAAACCAACACAUCAAUCAUAAAAAAGGGAAAAACACGGUAAAAAUUUAUUUUUUUUUUUUUUUGUUGAACUCAUACAGUUUACUGAAAUUUCGAUAGAAAUUUCAGUAAAGUCUCUCCUAUCCUGGGAGGUCCCAAGUUAUCAACAAAUCAUUUGUACAUAUCCUGUAUUCAUUGCUCAUACACAUUCCAAUCAUUCCAAGUCUCAAACUAUAACACUCCAAACUUUUAAAGUAAAAUUCACACAAUCAUCAAGUUAAAAAUGAGAAAAAAAUCUUAGGAAGUUUUUUUUUUUUAAAAUAAGAGAUAACUAUUAAUUAACCAUUGUAAUUGCAUUCAUAGAUUAACAUAAUGUAAAUUCUAAAUUUCAAAUUACUACAUAAAGUUUUAACAAAAAAGUACUACAUAAUUUUAUACAUACAAAUUAAAAGUAUUGUUAAAUACAACCAAAAAGAAAAUUCUUUGAUUUUUCUAUUAACUUAAGUGACUAAACAUAGGGAACACCUAUGCAUAAACUAAGGGUUACGCUGCUGAGAUGAACUUAUAUAUUAAUUUGCAUCAACAUAACUAAAUUAAUUAUGAUGAUCUAGUACACUUUUCAUUACACUAACAAUUUGCUUUUAAUUCAUCUAUCAUCAAUUUCUAUAAUUUUCCACUUGUCAACGCAUCAAUCUUGUCCAAUAAUAACUGAUUCUAUUGGUCACCCAUUCCAGGACAGUGGACCAACCAUCAGUUCAUUCAAAAGGGCACCAGUUCCAAACUAGGACACUGAUUCAGCCAUCAGCCCAAUCUCAGGGCACCAAUUCCAAACCAGGACACUGGUCCAAUCAUCAGCCCAUUCACCGGGCGCUAGUCCCAAACCAAGAACUGGUUCAACCAUCAUUCAAACACUACAUAUAAAUGCUAAAAUUUGAACUACAUCUUAUUAGGAGCUAAGCUAAAGAAUUAAAAGAGACUUUAAAUUAGAGAUCUAAUUGUUAGACACCUACCUGAAAUCUUUGCUCUGCUAGUCGUCCUAUGCUCUCGUUUAUUUCCCACAAUCUCACAUGUACCAAUAGUUACACUAAUUUAAAUUUCGAGUCUUAACCACACAUACGUACUAUUUUCAUUUCCUUUAUAAUUCAAAAUUUUAUAAUAAAAAACAAUUCCAAACAGAAGUUACCAAUUUACAAGUUUUAGAUGGCUCAACAUAACAGAUUCCAAACAUUGUUUAGUAGUUUGAGUAUAACCGGAGCUAUAGAACUCGGUUUUAUAUGUGCCUUGUUUUUUGGAACGCUAAAACAUGGUUCUACAACUUUUAUGAAGAAGAAUAUACCUAAUUUUUCCAUCUACAUGCCUAAAUUCAUAAAUUUCAGAAACCCAAAAAUUUGUCCUGCUGAUUCCCGGUUUUGACCUAUCUUCGAUUUUUCUUCCAUAUAUAAUGUUUUGUCACUCCAAUUUAAGCAAGAUCAAUUUUAUUAGAAAGGCAACAUCUAUGUCUACAACUUUCGUGAAGGAAAAUAUCUCAAAUUUUAUCAUCUUAGGGUUCAAAUCUUAGUAGAGAAAUUGAGAGACAACCUGUCCAGUUUUGAUUUUUAUGUUCAACAAGUAUAAAUUUGUUUCCCAUGUAUUUUUUCAUUAUUUAACAGACUUCUUAAACCUAUACUAAGGUAUUCUAAAAUCUUAAUUAUUCAAGGAAAACACAAACAAAUUCAAUUGACUUAAUAAGAGAGUUUGUUACCUUCUAUUACAAAGAAAAUGAGUCAAAAGAUCAACCACUUUUGUUCUUACCAUCCCUUCCUUCUUCUAACCCUUCCCUUCCCAGGCUGUAGACACCUAGCUAUGGGGCUGCCAUGCCCUGGGCGCUAGGGCCAAACCCGUGUGCCUGGCUGUAGACCCAGGCGAGCAGGUCUAUAGCCAACACAUGGCAGCCCUAGCGCAUGACUUAAUAUUAUUGUUUGUAUUAAAAAUAUUGUUAUUUUUAUUAUAAUUAAUAUUGUUAAUAUUAAAAAUAUUUUUAUUUUUAUUAUAAUUAAUAUUGUCAAUAUUAAAAAUAUUAUUAUUUUUAUUAUAAUUAAUAUCAUAAAUAUUAUUAAAUUUUAAAAAAAAUAUUAUUAUAAAAAAACAUAGAUUUGAUUUGAAGGGCAAAAUCAAUUAUUAUUAUUAUUAUUAUUAUUAUUAUUAUUAUUAUUAACUUGGGUCUGACAUGCCCUUCUAGACUUAAGUUUCUUGGGGCUGGAAAGGUGCGUCUAAUCCAAGUUACUUGAGAGUGGCAUGAGCGCAAACCCAAGUUUCUUGGGUCUUACAGCCUCACUUGGCCCAAGACACUUGGACAAGUGUUCAAACCCAAAGCUAUUGGGUCCAGUGUUCGGAUCCAAGGCUCUUAGGUCCUAUGUCCUGACCCAAGUCUAAUGGGUCCGGAUUGCAGCCAGACUUAAGGCUCUUGAAUCUGUCGUUUAUGAGGGGCCCAAAGCUCUUGGGUUUGGUGUUGCAGACAGACCCACUUAAACUUGGUUAAGUUUAAUAUUAUUAUUAAUAUUAAAAAUAUUAUUAAUAUAAUAAUUAAUAAUUUUGAAAAAAAAAUAAUAUUGAAAAACAACUAUAGAUUUGAUUUGAAGGGUAAACUUAAAAAUUAUUAUAUUAUUAUUAUUAUUAUUAUUAUAUUUGAAAAAAAUAUUAUUACUAUGGAAGAAAAAACAUAAUUUUUUUAAUAGAUUAAAAAUAUAUGAACUUGAGCCAGAUAAGUUAUAUAUUAUCAUUAAUAUUAUAAAUAUUACUAUUGGUUCUGACAUUGUAGUCAAAUCCAAGGCUCUUUGGUCUUUUUUUAUAGACAAACCCAACACUUUUAAAUUUUAGUUUUUUUAAUGUUUUUUAUGGAAAAAAGUUGGCUCGAGGCACCUAACUACUCUUCAAGCUAAACCAAAUCAGAAAGGGCUACUCAGCCCAAAAAAUCUUCAAAACCUCACUAUAUUUUGCUGUCCAAUUUGUUAGAAAUAUUUGAAGCAGUAAAGUAAAAAUGGAAACAUGGAAAGAUACUUUGAAUUUCAUUCAUAUUACAUCACUCUUCUAAAAAACAAAUCCCUAUAGACUUGGAUUUAAACUUACAAUACUCCGCACAUAUAUUUAUACUAAUCUAAAAUAAUUCAAGAGACUUAAAAAAUAAAUAUAUCUUUAAUAAUUAUAUGCAUAUAUUUAGAAGAUACCUCCUUUGAAUGAAAAUUUCAAAAUUAAUUUGUGUUGAGACUCCUCUUCAAAACCUCACUAUAAUUAAUUUGUUCAAAGCAACUACCAUUAUCUUCACCAGUGUGGAGAGGAGCAUUAACAAAAUCUUGGCAUGACUUGUGAAAAGAAAGCGACAAUCUUUUGGGAUGUCAAUAUUUUCUUGCAAGUUUCAGAGAAUAUCAGAAAAAUCAUUGAAAGAAAGCAAGUACGAUGAAAAUUCUAAAUCACAUGAUAGAAUUCUGGUCAUUGGUCAGAUAGGAAUUUGUACAAGAAGCAAGCCAAACGAAAAUCUAGCAUUAAAGAUAACAUGUAGCAAAUGCCAAGCUAUCUUGAUGUUAAACCUUUGAAUAGGUUAGGCUCGAAAGCAACAUAUUCCUUUGGCACAGACAAAAUCAAAGAAACAGACUGGUUUUCUCUAUUUCUUGAUGAAACAAACUAACAAGAUUCACCUCUUCCAUCUUUCUGUGUAUUCCAGCAGGAUCCAAAGCAAAUGCAGCACAUUCUGUCUUCAAGAUCGGACAUCAUCUUCCCCGGCUUCGCAUCACGCAGCACAUUUUCUUGACACACAUAAUGCAACUUAUUAACAUUGGACAAGGCUGCAUAACCGGUUGAGCUCAAAUCCGACACCUGCUGAAUUUAAACUGCGUCAACUUAUGAGCUCAUGAGCAUGCAAAUAUCACAACUCAAAAGCUCAGGAUGUCAGCAAGCUGAGAACAACAUAUAUAGGCAACUAAAAUACAAAAACCAGACAAUCAGUCACCAUAUAAAAUACACAUUUAGAAAAUUGUUGCCAAUUACAAAUUUACUGAGACCAUUUACAUUUCAAACAAAAAUGGAUAACCAAAUAUUUUGACCAAUUACAGCAGUGGCAGACUAGCAGCAAACGAGGAUGUUGUGUUCCUUGUAUAUGCCACUCCUCUCCCCACAAGCUACAUGCUUGCAACAAUUGUAAUUGCAGAGAGAUGGUAAUAAGAAAAACAUUGCCUUAGAUUCUCUCAUCCCUACUAUAAAUGUAAAAUCUUGUAUAAUACAUGUACAUAAUCAAUUCCAC
RNAcentral lists this long non-coding RNA (10611 nucleotides) under Populus trichocarpa (black cottonwood). Its description in RNAcentral is "long non-coding RNA (PTRI_LNC003117)". The record is from RNAcentral. Lineage: Eukaryota; Viridiplantae; Streptophyta; Magnoliopsida; Malpighiales; Salicaceae.